This 84-nucleotide transfer RNA is filed under the name Dermacentor andersoni. RNAcentral's name for it is "transfer RNA leucine (anticodon CAG)". It matches the Rfam family "tRNA". Rfam says of the family: Transfer RNA (tRNA) molecules are approximately 80 nucleotides in length. Their secondary structure includes four short double-helical elements and three loops (D, anti-codon, and T loops). Further hydrogen bonds mediate the characteristic L-shaped molecular structure. tRNAs have two regions of fundamental functional importance: the anti-codon, which is responsible for specific mRNA codon recognition, and the 3' end, to which the tRNAs corresponding amino acid is attached (by aminoacyl-tRNA synthetases). tRNAs cope with the degeneracy of the genetic code in two manners: having more than one tRNA (with a specific anti-codon) for a particular amino acid; and 'wobble' base-pairing, i.e. permitting non-standard base-pairing at the 3rd anti-codon position. The record is from RNAcentral. Lineage: Eukaryota; Metazoa; Arthropoda; Arachnida; Ixodida; Ixodidae.
GUCAGGAUGGCCGAGCGGUCCAAGGCGCUGCGUUCAGGUCGCAGUCCGGUCUUCCGGGCGUGGGUUCGAAUUCCACUUCUGACA